GGGUCCAUCGUAUAGUGGUAUUAUGCACGCUUCGGGUGCGUGAGGUCAGGGGUUCGAUUCCCCUUGGACCCC
Transfer RNA from Capsaspora owczarzaki ATCC 30864, 72 nucleotides. It matches the Rfam family "tRNA". From Rfam's summary of the family: Transfer RNA (tRNA) molecules are approximately 80 nucleotides in length. Their secondary structure includes four short double-helical elements and three loops (D, anti-codon, and T loops). Lineage: Eukaryota; Filasterea; Ministeriida; Capsasporidae. The record is from Rfam.